GGUGGUUCUCGGGUGACGUACCCCGGAAUUUGGCUCCCUCCUCUCUGAUUCCCGGUUCAUCACCCGAGAACCACA
This is a non-coding RNA of Myotis brandtii (Brandt's bat), 75 nucleotides long. The record is from Rfam. Lineage: Eukaryota; Metazoa; Chordata; Mammalia; Chiroptera; Vespertilionidae.